GUCCACGCAGUAAACGAUGAUUACUAGCUGUUUGCGAUAUACAGUAAGCGGCUGAGCGAAAGCGUUAAGUAAUCCACCUGGGGGAGUACGUUCGCAAGAAUGAAACUCAAAGGAAUUGACGGGGGCCCGCACAAGCGGAGGAACAUGUGGUUUAAUUCGAUGAUACGCGAGGAACCUUACCCGGGCUUGAAAUGCAUCUGACAGGAGCAGAGACGCUCUCUCCCUUCGGGGCAGAUGUGUAGGUGCUGCAUGGUUGUCGU
RNAcentral lists this ribosomal RNA (260 nucleotides) under uncultured bacterium. RNAcentral's name for it is "partial 16S ribosomal RNA". It matches the Rfam family "Bacterial small subunit ribosomal RNA", at positions 793 to 1055 of the family's 1533-position model. The record is from RNAcentral.